Long non-coding RNA from Centruroides sculpturatus (bark scorpion), 443 nucleotides. RefSeq lists it as uncharacterized. NCBI's taxonomy places the organism in Eukaryota, Metazoa, Arthropoda, Arachnida, Scorpiones, Buthidae. The record is from RefSeq and is a predicted model, not a curated record. The transcript is spliced from 3 exons.
GUGAGGUGCAGAAAGAAGUGUCCGAACAUGAAAUUUUCGUUCCGGAUACAAUAACUAAUAAAGAACCGGACAUACAUUCCUCAUUAGGAACUUCUGAAGAUUUAUCAAUUUCUACGCAUCCACAUAAUAAUGAACUGGAAUCAGAACCCGAAAUUUCGUGUACAAAUGAUUCUGAUGCGAAUAAUUCUGCAUCUUUCAAUACCGAAGAUAACCUGGAGCAAGUGAAACAAACUGAAACAACAGUGAACGUAACAGGAGACACCACAAUUGACGUAAUUUCGGAAGAUUUCGAUUUCGACGAAGUUUCUAUCGCUUUUCCAACAAAUUCCGAUCUCCAGAAUAUAUCUCCUGCAUGGAUAAAUGACGAGUUCUACGAAAGACCUCUGAAACGUGCUUUUAGAUAUUUAGAAGAAACUUCGUUAGUCAGAGAAGUAAUAUACGAG